This 548-nucleotide ribosomal RNA is filed under the name Salmonella enterica. RNAcentral's name for it is "partial 23S ribosomal RNA". It matches the Rfam family "Bacterial large subunit ribosomal RNA", at positions 1 to 579 of the family's 2925-position model. The record is from RNAcentral. Lineage: Bacteria; Pseudomonadati; Pseudomonadota; Gammaproteobacteria; Enterobacterales; Enterobacteriaceae.
GGGUUGUGAGGUUAAGCGACUAAGCGUACACGGUGGAUGCCCUGGCAGUCAGAGGCGAUGAAGGACGUGCUAAUCUGCGAUAAGCGCCGGUAAGGUGAUAUGAACCGUUAUAACCGGCGAUUUCCGAAUGGGGAAACCCAGUGUGAUUCGUCACACUAUCAUUAACUGAAUCCAUAGGUUAAUGAGGCGAACCGGGGGAACUGAAACAUCUAAGUACCCCGAGGAAAAGAAAUCAACCGAGAUUCCCCCAGUAGCGGCGAGCGAACGGGGAGGAGCCCAGAGCCUGAAUCAGCAUGUGUGUUAGUGGAAGCGUCUGGAAAGGCGCGCGAUACAGGGUGACAGCCCCGUACACAAAAGCGCAUAUGCUGUGAGCUCGAUGAGUAGGGCGGGACACGUGGUAUCCUGUCUGAAUAUGGGGGGACCAUCCUCCAAGGCUAAAUACUCCUGACUGACCGAUAGUGAACCAGUACCGUGAGGGAAAGGCGAAAAGAACCCCGGCGAGGGGAGUGAAAAAGAACCUGAAACCGUGUACGUACAAGCAGUGGGAG